AUACGGAGGAUGCGAGCGUUAUCCGGAUUCAUUGGGUUUAAAGGGUGCGUAGGUUGCCGAUUAAGUCAGCGGUGAAAGUCAGUGGCUCAACCAUUGAACUGCCGUUGAAACUGGUUGGCUUGAGUACGUACGGGGCAGGCGGAAUGCGUGGUGUAGCGGUGAAAUGCAUAGAUAUCACGCAGAACUCCGAUUGCGAAGGCAGCUUACUAAGCUACAACUGACACUGAAGCACGAAAGCGUGGGGAUC
RNAcentral lists this ribosomal RNA (247 nucleotides) under uncultured bacterium. RNAcentral describes it as "partial 16S ribosomal RNA". It matches the Rfam family "Bacterial small subunit ribosomal RNA", at positions 523 to 769 of the family's 1533-position model. The record is from RNAcentral.